UUAAAAAUUACUUUGUAAAUUGUUGUAUCAAUCAACACUUUAAAAUUUCUUUUCACAUGAAGAUGGGUAAUUCUUUGGCCGUCUCCUAUAACUAUUUCUAGAUACAUACCUCACAUUUUUAGAUGGAAGAGUAUCACAAAUUCCAAACUUUUUAGGGUAGCCUUCAACCACCUACCAUCUUCAUCCCUCAAAAGAAUUGUUCUCUUUAAUAAUUAAUUGUAAACUUUAAAUUUCAUAAAUUCAAGUAUUAAAUUAAAAGUUAAUGUAUGAUUGGAUCAACUCAAUAAAUUCUCAUAAAAUUAAACAGUUCAAUU
RNAcentral lists this long non-coding RNA (314 nucleotides) under Cicer arietinum (chickpea). RNAcentral describes it as "long non-coding RNA (CARI_LNC000885)". Lineage: Eukaryota; Viridiplantae; Streptophyta; Magnoliopsida; Fabales; Fabaceae. The record is from RNAcentral.